AAGGCUACCAACCAUGCUGGUUUGCCUGGGACUGAGGGUCUUCUCCCGACACUGGACUUUCAGGGCUAAAAUUGAG
This 76-nucleotide microRNA precursor is filed under the name Chlorocebus sabaeus (green monkey). RNAcentral's name for it is "miRNA (ENSCSAG00000020434.1)". The record is from RNAcentral. Lineage: Eukaryota; Metazoa; Chordata; Mammalia; Primates; Cercopithecidae.